Molecule: non-coding RNA, 29 nt
Filed under: Homo sapiens (human)
Lineage: Eukaryota; Metazoa; Chordata; Mammalia; Primates; Hominidae
Source: RNAcentral
UGCGCUGUGUGGUAUUGAUGCUGAUCCCC